ACUCCUACGGGAGGCAGCAGUGGGGAAUUUUGGACAAUGGGGGCAACCCUGAUCCAGCAAUCCCGCGUGUGUGAAGAAGGCCUUCGGGUUGUAAGAGCACUUUUGUCCGGAAAGAAAACUGCGCGUGGUUAAUACCUCGUGGCAGAUGAC
RNAcentral lists this ribosomal RNA (150 nucleotides) under uncultured bacterium. Its description in RNAcentral is "partial 16S ribosomal RNA". It matches the Rfam family "Bacterial small subunit ribosomal RNA", at positions 335 to 473 of the family's 1533-position model. The record is from RNAcentral.